RNAcentral lists this unclassified non-coding RNA (236 nucleotides) under Exidia glandulosa. Its description in RNAcentral is "partial internal transcribed spacer region". The stretch from base 1 to 46 matches the Rfam family "Eukaryotic small subunit ribosomal RNA", at positions 1786 to 1831 of the family's 1831-position model. Lineage: Eukaryota; Fungi; Basidiomycota; Agaricomycetes; Auriculariales; Exidiaceae. The record is from RNAcentral.
AAGUCGUAACAAGGUUUCCGUAGGUGAACCUGCGGAAGGAUCAUUAAAGAUUCGGGCUUCGGCCUAACCUCUUCAGCUGUGCGCUUUGGCUGCACGCUGUCGAAACCUCUCACACCUGUGCACCUUUUCGGUUGCGGCGUUCGCGUCGCUUCCGCUUUACACAUUUUACUACAAAAGUCCAGAAUGUCAAAACUACAAACAUAAUACAACUUUCAACAACGGAUCUCUUGGCUCUC